Small nuclear RNA from Syngnathus typhle (broad-nosed pipefish), 112 nucleotides. RefSeq annotates it as U5 spliceosomal RNA. Lineage: Eukaryota; Metazoa; Chordata; Actinopteri; Syngnathiformes; Syngnathidae. The transcript has a single exon. The record is from RefSeq and is a predicted model, not a curated record.
ACUCUUAUUUCUCUUCAGAUCGAAUAAAUCUUUGGCCUUUUACUCAAGAUUUCCGUGGGGAGGAACAAUAAGAAUCUAUCUAAAUGUUUUGAUGUUCUGCGAAAGCGGAGCU